UAAUAAGUGUUUUAUGGCACUUUUUAAAUCCAUAUCCACCUUGUGUGCAAUGUCAGUCGAUCUUCUUCAUGGAGAUCGACCAAACAUCAACCUUUAUCUUUUAACUCUUUGUCUGAAAAAUAUAUUUAUUGAAUAAACAAUUCAAAAUA
RNAcentral lists this unclassified non-coding RNA (149 nucleotides) under soil metagenome. RNAcentral describes it as "partial internal transcribed spacer 1". The record is from RNAcentral.